This 251-nucleotide ribosomal RNA is filed under the name uncultured bacterium. RNAcentral describes it as "partial 16S ribosomal RNA". It matches the Rfam family "Bacterial small subunit ribosomal RNA", at positions 524 to 775 of the family's 1533-position model. The record is from RNAcentral.
GACAGAGGGUGCAAACGUUGCUCGGAAUCACUGGGCGUAAAGGGCGCGUAGGCGGGAAUGUAAGUCGGGCGUGAAAUCCCUAGGCUUAACCGAGGAACUGCGUCCGAUACUGAAAGGCUUGAAUCCGGGAGAGGGAUGUGGAAUUCCAGGUGUAGCGGUGAAAUGCGUAGAUAUCUGGAGGAACACCGGUGGCGAAGGCGGCAUCCUGGACCGGUAUUGACGCUGAGGCGCGAAGCUAGGGGAGCAACGGG